This 531-nucleotide ribosomal RNA is filed under the name Neocrepidodera sp. BMNH 848121. Its description in RNAcentral is "eukaryotic LSU rRNA". It matches the Rfam family "Eukaryotic large subunit ribosomal RNA", at positions 680 to 1162 of the family's 3401-position model. Lineage: Eukaryota; Metazoa; Arthropoda; Insecta; Coleoptera; Chrysomelidae. The record is from RNAcentral.
AUGUGCGCGAGUCAUUGGGAUAUUACUAAACCUAAAGGCGUAAUGAAAGUAAAGGUUUACCUUGCGUAGAUCGAGGGAGGAUGGGUGGUUUGCCCAUAAAGUGGCCACUCCGCACUCCCGGGGCGUCUCAUUCUCAUCGCGAGAAGAGGCGCACCAAGAGCGUACACGCUGGGACCCGAAAGAUGGUGAACUAUGCCUGGUCAGGACGAAGUCAGGGGAAACCCUGAUGGAGGUCCGUAGCGAUUCUGACGUGCAAAUCGAUCGUCGGAACUGGGUAUAGGGGCGAAAGACCAAUCGAACUAUCUAGUAGCUGGUUCCCUCCGAAGUUUCCCUCAGGAUAGCUGGCGCUCGUUGCGUACGAGUUUCAUCCGGUAAAGCGAAUGAUUAGAGGCAUUGGGGUCGAAACGACCUCAACCUAUUCUCAAACUUUAAAUGGGUGAGAUCUCCGGCUUGCUCGAGCUUAUGAAGCCGUGAGACUCGAAUCAGAGUGCCAAGUGGGCCAUUUUUGGUAAGCAGAACUGGCGCUGUGGG